Molecule: ribosomal RNA, 390 nt
Filed under: uncultured bacterium
Lineage: Bacteria
Description: bacterial SSU rRNA
Rfam family: Bacterial small subunit ribosomal RNA
Source: RNAcentral
GACGAACGCUGGCGGCGUGCUUAACACAUGCAGGUCGAGCGGUAAGGCCCUUUCGGGGGUACACGAGCGGCGAACGGGUGAGUAACACGUGGGUGACCUGCCCUUAGCUCUGGGAUAAGCCUGGGGAAACUGGGUCUAAUACCGGAUAUGACUCCAUGACGCAUGUUGUGGGGUGGAAAGCCUUGUGCGGCUGAGGAUGGGGCCCGCGGCCUAUCAGCUUGUUGGUGGGGUGAUGGCCUACCAAGGCGACGACGGGUAGCCGGCCUGAGAGGGCGACCGGCCACACUGGGACUGAGAUACGGCCCAGACUCCUACGGGAGGCAGCAGUGGGGAAUCUUGCGCAAUGGGCGAAAGCCUGACGCAGCGACGCCGCGUGAGGGAUGACGGCCU